This 253-nucleotide ribosomal RNA is filed under the name uncultured bacterium. Its description in RNAcentral is "partial 16S ribosomal RNA". It matches the Rfam family "Bacterial small subunit ribosomal RNA", at positions 524 to 776 of the family's 1533-position model. The record is from RNAcentral.
UACGAAGGGGGCUAGCGUUGGUCGGAAUUACCGGGCGUAAAGCGCGUGUAGGUGGAAUGGUAAGCAAGAGGUGAAAUCCCAGAGCUCAACUUUGGAAUUGCCUUUUGAACUAUCAUUCUGGAGUAUUGGAGGGGAGUGCGGAAUUCCUAAUGUAGAGGUGAAAUUCGUAGAUAUUAGGAGGAACACCGGUGGCGAAGGCGGCACUCUGGACAAUAACUGACACUGAGACGCGAAAGCGUGUGGAGCAAACAGG